This 305-nucleotide ribosomal RNA is filed under the name uncultured bacterium. Its description in RNAcentral is "bacterial SSU rRNA". It matches the Rfam family "Bacterial small subunit ribosomal RNA", at positions 335 to 651 of the family's 1533-position model. The record is from RNAcentral.
UGUCCUACGGGGGGCAGCAGUCGAGAAUCAUUCACAAUGGGGGAAACCCUGAUGGUGCGACGCCGCGUGGGGGAAUGAAGGUCUUCGGAUUGUAAACCCCUGUCAUGUGGGAGCAAAUUAAAAAGAUAGUACCACAAGAGGAAGAGACGGCUAACUCUGUGCCAGCAGCCGCGGUAAUACAGAGGUCUCAAGCGUUGUUCGGAAUCACUGGGCGUAAAGCGUGCGUAGGCUGUUUCGUAAUUCGUGUGUGAAAGGCUCGGGCUCAAUCCGCGGCAGGCACCUGAUACUGCGAGCCUAGAGUAAUG